CCUACGGGGGGCUGCAGUGGGGAAUAUUGGACAAUGGGCGAAAGCCUGAUCCAGCCAUGCCGCGUGUGUGAAGAAGGCCUUCGGGUUGUAAAGCACUUUCAGUGGGGAAGAAAGCCUUGGGGCUAAUACCCUCGAGGAAGGACAUCACCCACAGAAGAAGCACCGGCUAACUCCGUGCCAGCAGCCGCGGUAAUACGGAGGGUGCGAGCGUUAAUCGGAAUUACUGGGCGUAAAGCGCGCGUAGGCGGUCUGAUAAGCCGGUUGUGAAAGCCCCGGGCUCAACCUGGGAACGGCAUCCGGAACUGUCAGGCUAGAGUGCAGGAGAGGAAGGUAGAAUUCCCGGUGUAGCGGUGAAAUGCGUAGAGAUCGGGAGGGAUACCAGUGGCGAAGGCGGCCUUCUGGACUGACACUGACGCUGAGGUGCGAAAGCGUGGGUAGCAAACAGGAUUAGAUACCCGAGUAGUC
RNAcentral lists this ribosomal RNA (465 nucleotides) under Vreelandella stevensii. RNAcentral describes it as "partial 16S ribosomal RNA". It matches the Rfam family "Bacterial small subunit ribosomal RNA", at positions 338 to 795 of the family's 1533-position model. Lineage: Bacteria; Pseudomonadati; Pseudomonadota; Gammaproteobacteria; Oceanospirillales; Halomonadaceae. The record is from RNAcentral.